GAAACAGGGUGCUUACAAGAGAGAAUAAUGGACAAGGUGGGGGAGCUAUAGAUAGGUUGUGAGAUUAAGGAAAGGAAGAACUGCUUGACCUGAGACCUGGAAGCAGAGAACAUAGAAACUUUGUAACAGCAGAGAAGAGAGUGAUCCAGACAGAGGGAACAUCACGUGCAAAGGCCCUGCAGCUGCCCAGGGCUUCCUCAGCUACUGCAGUUGGCUUCUAGAAUCCCUCCUUUUCAUUGUGGACAAAAAAUGGCGUAUGCCAUUCAAUGGAGAUUACUGAAACCAGUGCUUUAUAACCACCUCCUCCAUCCUGACCCUUUGGGGGUGUGCCAAGGGACAGCUGCAAAACCAGUCAUGCACCUUUCUGCCCUCAGCUAUUGGAGCACCUUUCUCUUCCUGUGAACUGCAUCACCUUGUGGACCCAGCUCCUCAGCAUCAGCCCCGCUUGGUUCUCCCCCGGGCCCUCUCUCCUUCCUGCUCUGUUUCCUUUCUUGGACUAGCACGGAACUUGAUCCCUGAGCAGGAUCUGCAGAUGUUCUCUGUAAAGGAAGACAGGAAAGAUUUUAGGCUCUGCGGGCCGUGUGGUCUCUGUUUCCACUACUCCAUGCUGCUCUUGCAGUGAAAGCAGCCACAGACAAUAUAUUGUUCUAUGGGACACAACAAACACAGAACUGGCCUAAAAUUGAGAAAUUUGAGCUUGAACCUUCGAUCAGCUGUUUAUUAAUUUUCUGACUCCUGGGUGCAUAGCUGGGAGGUGAGAACCACGAGGCCCUGCACUAAGUGAGGUCAUUCCCUUUGGUAUCCAGAAACGAGAAACUGGUCCCACCUGUGGAGACGUAGAGACCACAAAUAGUUUUCCUCUGCAUGGAGCAAGCGACAAAAUAAGGAGCGGACAAACAGAUGUGAUAGUAAAGAAUACACGCUGAAGGGAGUGUUUUCACAGUGUCUGAUGAAGGGGAAGAGGCCGCCUUCCCCAACACUGAGCUGAUGGAGACCCAGCCGGGGUGGGAGUCACCUCCUCAGGAAGCCCUAGGCAGUCUCUCCUGCUCCAUGGCUCCUGAGCUGCACCAUGGUUCGGUUUCCCCAGUGCACACUGAGCUGCUGAGUCCUCCUGUCUGGGGCUAGAGCAGCCUCCACGAUGCAGCUUCCUCCAUCCCAGGCAACCCCAAGGCUGUCCGGUCUUGAGCCCACGCCCCUGCGAGAGACAAGGGGAAGCCCAAGGGUCAGCAAGAGCCCUGCCUCAGGGCAGUGGUCCCUUUUCACAGACAAGAAGGAGCAGCCAUCUUCCCUGCAGUUCCACCCCCUCCCAAUGACCACAAAAAAGCAAAGAAAACCUUUAUCCAAGGGUGCUGUGGACCCAGCAGGCUGGCGGAACUAGGGUCACACCCGGCCUGGAGGAGAACAGUUCUCGGGACACUCACCAGGGUCUCCACCAUGUUGGACUUGUUGUUCCGCAGCGUUUUCACGAUGUGGAACACAUCAAUGAUGUUCUGCUGCUGGAUCAUCUCACACACGCUGCAGAUGGCACAGAAGGUCCCGCUGCGGCCUCCCCCAUUUCUAAACACAGAGGGAAGGAGCUGGAACCAGAAUGGAAAAGCCAGGAGGAGGGAGGAUGAAGGAGAGAGAAAGCGCAUGUCUCCAAACGUCCUAGCUGUGCAACCCAAAUUCCGGCUCAGGGAUAACAUUGGUCACAUGAUAGGCCACACCUGGCCAGCACCCGGUUCUAGAAAGUGGGCCGACCCUUGCACUGUCAGCUUGUUCUGGGAAUAAAGGAGAUGGCGCACGUGAACAAACAGGCAUGGCAUAAGCACCCACUGAAUCCCAGCGAUUCACAGUAUUAUUGAACCUAUCACUGCUCCACGAAAAUAACAAUUAUGAUAAUGCCUCACAUUUAAAGCUGAAGGAUUCUUCUUAUCACCUGUCUCAAAUAGCAAAGACCUAACGAACGGUGGUUGCUUUCCUUGCACCUCCACUGGGGGUGAAUCCAGCAUACUAAUGUGUGUGGGUGGCUGUCACGGGGCCCUGUGGCUGGGCAGGAACGACCAAACCACAAUUUGACCUUCAUUUCUCUUUGCCAUUGGCUCUC
This is a long non-coding RNA of Eptesicus fuscus (big brown bat), 2086 nucleotides long. RefSeq lists it as uncharacterized. The record is from RefSeq and is a predicted model, not a curated record. The transcript is spliced from 13 exons. NCBI's taxonomy places the organism in Eukaryota, Metazoa, Chordata, Mammalia, Chiroptera, Vespertilionidae.